This is a long non-coding RNA of Cryptotermes secundus, 539 nucleotides long. RefSeq lists it as uncharacterized. NCBI's taxonomy places the organism in Eukaryota, Metazoa, Arthropoda, Insecta, Blattodea, Kalotermitidae. The transcript is spliced from 3 exons. The record is from RefSeq and is a predicted model, not a curated record.
CACGUGAAGGAAAGACUGUUAGAACUCGCUGAAUUCGCUGAAGUUAUUAGUUGGUGUGUUCUUUAGCUUCUUUACGGUCUAUUAUUCUUCUAUGUGUGAUUUACGUUAGUGCCAUGGAUUGUCGAACGCAGUGUGGAUCAUAUGUAUCGUGAAUGGUUAAGAGAGGUGAGAGAGUGACCAUGAAAGCGUAACUUACUUGUAUGAGGAAGUUCAUCUUUAAAUCUGUCUUCACACAUCCUUGUUAGAGGUAUAUUUACACGUUGAUUGUCAUGAAGUCCUAUGAUUACUUCUACUUCUACCUCUAUCCUGGGCUUCUUUUCCUCAUCAGUCUAUUGCAUUGCCAAGCUGUCCUCUCACAUAACUUAUGAAGAACUGUAAGGUAAGUCACAGCUCUUAUACAGUGAUUUACUCAAAUAUUGCAACAGCAAAAUCAGAGUGUUCUCAUGUUUCAAACUAUUGUGUCUGAAAGUGUCAGUUAUAUAAUUGAAUCUGCAAAAAUGUAUAGAAAGUCAAAUAAAUUUUUGGCACUUUAAAUGCAA